RNAcentral lists this ribosomal RNA (728 nucleotides) under actinobacterium MAR_274_D06_2010-01-20. RNAcentral's name for it is "bacterial SSU rRNA". It matches the Rfam family "Bacterial small subunit ribosomal RNA", at positions 17 to 774 of the family's 1533-position model. The record is from RNAcentral. Lineage: Bacteria; Bacillati; Actinomycetota; Actinomycetes.
GUUUGGCUCACGAACGCGCGGCGUGCUUAACACAUGCAAGUCGAACGGUAAGGCCCUUGGGGGUACACGAGUGGCGAACGGGUGAGUAACACGUGGGUAAUCUGCCCUGCACUUCGGGAUAAGCCUGGGAAACGGGUCUAAUACCGGAUAUGAACUCCUGCAUGGUGGGGGUUGGAAAGUUUUUCGGUGCAGGAUGAGCCCGCGGCCUAUCAGCUUGUUGGUGGGGUAAUGGCCUACCAAGGCGACGACGGGUAGCCGGCCUGAGAGGGUGAUCGGCCACACUGGGACUGAGACACGGCCCAGACUCCUACGGGAGGCAGCAGUGGGGAAUAUUGCACAAUGGGCGAAAGCCUGAUGCAGCGACGCCGCGUGGGGGAUGACGGUCUUCGGAUUGUAAACCCCUUUCAGUAGGGACGAAGCGCAAGUGACGGUACCUGCAGAAGAAGCACCGGCUAACUACGUGCCAGCAGCCGCGGUAAUACGUAGGGUGCGAGCGUUGUCCGGAAUUACUGGGCGUAAAGAGCUCGUAGGCGGUUUGUCACGUCGUCUGUGAAAUCCCUCGGCUUAACCGGGGGCGUGCAGGCGAUACGGGCAGACUGAGUACUACAGGGGAGACUGGAAUUCCUGGUGUAGCGGUGAAAUGCGCAGAUAUCAGGAGGAACACCGGUGGCGAAGGCGGGUCUCUGGGUAGUAACUGACGCUGAGGAGGAAAGCAAGCGUCCUUUCCC